This 200-nucleotide ribosomal RNA is filed under the name uncultured bacterium. RNAcentral's name for it is "partial 16S ribosomal RNA". It matches the Rfam family "Bacterial small subunit ribosomal RNA", at positions 29 to 233 of the family's 1533-position model. The record is from RNAcentral.
AACGAACGCUGGCGGCGUGCUUAACACAUGCAAGUCGAGCGGAAAGGCCCUUCGGGGUACUCGAGCGGCGAACGGGUGAGUAACACGUGAGCAACCAGCCCCUGGCUCUGGGAUAGCCUCCGGAAACGGGGAUUAAUACCGGACACGACCUGGGACCGCAUGGUUUCGGGUGGAAAGUUUUUCGGCCAGGGUGGGGCUCG